UACGGAGGGUGCAAGCGUUGCUCGGAAUUAUUGGGCGUAAAGCGCGUGUAGGCGGUUUUCUAAGUCUGAUGUGAAAUCCCAGGGCUUAACCCUGGAACUGCAUUGGAUACUGGAUAACUAGAGGGCGAGAGAGGAUGGUGGAAUUCCUGGUGUAGGGGUGAAAUCCGUAGAUAUCAGGAGGAACAUCAGUGGCGAAGGCGGCCAUCUGGCUCGCACCUGACGCUGAGACGCGAAAGCAUGGGGAGCGAACGGG
RNAcentral lists this ribosomal RNA (253 nucleotides) under uncultured bacterium. RNAcentral describes it as "partial 16S ribosomal RNA". It matches the Rfam family "Bacterial small subunit ribosomal RNA", at positions 524 to 776 of the family's 1533-position model. The record is from RNAcentral.